Molecule: long non-coding RNA, 3632 nt
Filed under: Sus scrofa (pig)
Lineage: Eukaryota; Metazoa; Chordata; Mammalia; Artiodactyla; Suidae
Description: lncRNA (ENSSSCG00045022683.1)
Source: RNAcentral
AAGUGACUUAAUCAACUUGAUGCAGCUGGUGAGAGGGAGCCGGGGCCGCGAGCCUUGACUUCCAGCCCAAGCUCUUUCUCUCUUUUCUCUAAGGCGGGAACCUAGGGCACUGGCUCUACACAUGUGGCGGUCUUGCCUAAGUCACUUUUGGAAGCAUCUGUUCCGGACUGGUCUUUCUGGCCCCCAGACCUUGACUUUCUGGAUCUUUGGGACCGUGCCCGGCAGGAUGGACUUUAUGUGUCUGGGGCAGUGGGAGGGCAGAAACCCAGAGUCAGCAGUAAUUGCUUUUUUAAGUAACCUGGAUGAAAAUCCUGAGAGGACCAGCUUUUGAUCCUGCAGAACAGGCCUGGGUUCUGCAAACAGCCUGACCCCCGAGGGGCUCCUAAGUCUCCACCAGGACUUCUGCCCAGCAGUUCCAGACCAUCAUCUACAGCUGACCAGCUCUCUUGUCUCUGAAAGCCCAGGGCUGCCUCUGGGGGAGCAGGCUUUAGGCAUUUCUUUUUUCUUUCUUUUUUUUUAGGUCCGCACCUGCAGCAUAUGGAAGGCCUACCACAGCCAUAGCAACUCCAGAUCUGAGCCUUGUCUGUGACCUACGUUGCAAUUCGAAGCAAUGCUGGAUCCUUAACCCACUGAGCAGGGCCAAGGAUCGAACCCAACCUCAGAGCCUGGCUGUCAGUUUGACCUGUUGGAUGGAGGAAUGCCUGACCGAAUGACGGAAUGAACUUGUGGUCACGAAGGUUAAAUGAGAUACCAUGAAAUCUCCAGGAACAGAAUCUAUUCCUCGGGGAAGGAACGUGAGGGUGGGCAGAAGCUCGGGCUGGGGAAGACCCUGGGGUGGGCAGAGGUCUGGGAUGGAGCACCGGGACCCAGGGGGAGAGCUCCAGGUGAUGCUGUGGCAAAGCCUCCCGUGGCCUCCAGAAGCAGGUGGUACCACCUCCAUGGGCAGCUCAUUCCUGAGCUCUGGGUGCAGCCUCUGCCCCUGGCUCUGUGUGGGCCUCCCAGUUGUCCUCCAAGGUGCAUGGUGUAUGUCACACCCUCCUCCUGGCACCUCAGAGCCUCUGAGGCCAGCUGCCCGCCUGGUCUGAGCAGCGUGUCAUAGUCUGCAGAGAAAAGGCCAUCUAUUUUCUCGCAGCGUGAACUCUCACAUUUACAGCGAUGCCAAGCCGAAUGUAAGACUCAUACAAACGCCACUCCGAGCCCUGCCCCCCAUGAAGGGGGGCGGGGGGGGGGGGAAGCCCUGCCCCGUCCAGGAAACAAAGUCCCCUCUGUUGGCAGCAUGAGUUUCCGUUCAAGUCCCCAGGCCCCCUGGGUGGCCAUGGAAUAAUCUGGGCCAGUAAGUGGGGUGUAUUGGACCCUCUGGGCAGCCCCCCAAGGCUGUCUUUGUUUCCCACCAUGGGAGAGGGGCCAACCCCACCUGGCUGGGGCGCCCAUGGAGAUGCUAUGGGAUCCCAGGGGCCUGACCGCAUCCCCUGUGCCUGAGGGUCAGUGCUUCUGGGAGUUCUGGUCAAGGGCACAUCACGUCUUGAAGCUUAGUGUGUGCCCAGGGUCCACAUCCUUCUGAACAGUUUUUUUUUUUUUUUUUUUUUUUUUUAGGGCUGCACUCACCCGCAUAUGGAGGUUCCCAGGCUAGGGGUCAAAUCAGAGCUGUAGCCACCAACCUACACUACAGCCACAGCAACACGGGAUCCUUAACCUGCUGAGGCCAGGGACUGAACCCACAACCUCAUGGUUCCUAGUUGGAUUUGUUAACUACUGAGCCACAAUGGGAACUCAGCUUCUGAACAGUUUUUCUUUUCCCGUCCCUGCUCAGGAAACAGAAAAGGUUGAAAUUGCCAUCUUCUGGCUUAAGGAGUCCUGCUGUGACUCCAUCUCUGACCAGAGUCCUUUUUCCCCCCGCUUCCUGGGUGGGGUUUGAACUCACAGCAUGGGGGCAGUUUGGAUGAGCUGCUGGAGAAGACCAUUCUGCCACCUCCACCCCUAGGUAGCUGGGGAGUCAGGCCCUGGGACUGAGAGAGACUCGGUCUCAGGCACAGAUCUGGAGGCAGGUUAGCCUCUGAGCUGCUGGGCCUCUCUGUCCGGGCCUCCCUGCCUCCCCACGGGGGCCACAGAUACUCACUGUGCCUACUUUUUCUUCAUCAAUCCAGCCUAUUCUCAGUCAAUUACUUCAUGGCCCAGCUCUCUGAUUUCUAAAGUGACAGCUCAUUUCUCCUCCUCCUCAUUUUUUUUUUUUUUUUUUUUUUUUUUUUUUUUUUGCUCUUUAGGUCUGCACCAGAAGCAUAUAGAAGUAGUUUUCAGGCUUGGGGUCGAAUUGGAGCUGCAGCUGCUGGCCUAUAUCACAGCCACAGCAAGGCCCGAGCCGAGCCGCGUCUGUGACCUACACCACAACUCACAGCAACAUGGGAUCCUUAACCCACUGAGCGAGGCUAGGGAUCAAACCCUCAUCCUCAGGGAUACUGGUCGGGUUUGUAACGGCUGAGCCACAACAGGAAGUCCCGGUGACAGCUCAUUUCCAAAGAAACCCUUGCACUGGAGUUGGGGACGUGUGUGAGAUCCAAUACCUUGAUGCUAGAAGGCUCUGAGGCCCCCAGUGCAUUGACAAGGCUGACCCCUCGGAGUCCCUGAACCUCUGGCCUUGCUUCCCGCUCAUUCUGGCUUCCUUCGGAAACUUCCCUCAGCAGGGUCCUCAGAUCAGAUUUUCCUGCCUUUAAAUUUUCAAAUUAAGAGGCUUCUCACAGGGCCUCCAUGUCACCCGGGCUUUGUUUUGAUAGGAGCCCAGGUUCUAGAAUAGCUGCUUGCAAGUGGGCACGGACCCUACAGUGGCUGAGCAGGGCUGCCUGGGCACAAGGGCCAAGGGCUGGCAAGAUGAGUCCAAGGGAACCAUGGGCAGGGCAUUUCUAUGGCAACUCACACCAGCCCUCCUGUGUCCAGACCAUCAUUAAAUUAACCUGGGAGAGUUCCUGUUGUGGCUCAGUGGAAACGCUGGUCGAUCCCAGGCCUCGCUCAGUGGAUUAAGGAUCUGGCAUUGCCGUGAGCUGUGGUGUAGGUCACAGAUGCGGCUUGGAUCCUAUGUGGCUGUGGCUGUGGCUCUGGUGUAGGCCGGCAUCACAGCUCCGAUUCGACCACUAGCCUGGGAACCUCCAUACACUGCAGGUGCGGCCCUAAAAAGACAACAAAAUAAAAAUUAAAAAUUACCCUGGGGACCUUCUCCUGGCAGCGAUGUCUGUAGGUUCAGACAAGAUGUUUUAACUUUCAGACGGUUGAUUGGCAUGAAAUCAUUAUCAAGUGGGACCAUUAGCAGAAGCGAGGCACAGGCAAAACUAGUAACUCCAGGAAACACUCGAUUUUCCGUCGGCUGUCCAUCCUUCCUCGGCUCUUCUGGUUUUUGCUGCAACGUGGACAUCCUGAAGCGUGUUCUGCCUCUUUUAGGACUGCAAAAAAAAAAAAAAAAAGAAGAAAAAAAUGAAAUAAGAAGGUGAUGGGCAUCUCCAGUCAAGGCCUGUAAAACCCCUCCGUUCUCCGGAGUCCACGGGAAAAGUGUCACAACCUGUAGACUUGUUCCUGUCCCCAUCCCAGAGACAGUCGCUUGUUGGUUUUAACUGGAAAAAUAAACAUUUGAAAAACAGGCAAAAAAA